GCCACAUGAUGAGUUCAGAAGCGUCAGGAGCUUCAGGCUGUGAUGACCUGCUAUCUAUCACCCUUUUCUGAUGGCU
This is a small nucleolar RNA of Platichthys flesus (European flounder), 76 nucleotides long. RefSeq annotates it as small nucleolar RNA SNORD83. The transcript has a single exon. The record is from RefSeq and is a predicted model, not a curated record. NCBI's taxonomy places the organism in Eukaryota, Metazoa, Chordata, Actinopteri, Pleuronectiformes, Pleuronectidae.